AUCACCUGGCAAUCUUGUUAAAAUGCAGAUUCUGUUUCAACAGGCCUGGGAAAGGACCUAAGAGUCUGCAUUUCUAACAAACUCCUGGGUGAUGCUCU
RNAcentral lists this microRNA precursor (98 nucleotides) under Equus caballus (horse). RNAcentral describes it as "mir-544 microRNA precursor family". It matches the Rfam family "mir-544 microRNA precursor family". Lineage: Eukaryota; Metazoa; Chordata; Mammalia; Perissodactyla; Equidae. The record is from Rfam by way of RNAcentral.